UGAUUGAGGGCGGGGUGUCUUCAAAAGCUAAAAAAAAGAAAAAAAAGAAAAAAAAAAUCUUGCUGCUCUGAAUAAUCUCGGUGUUUGCAGUUGCUUUUCAGGGAAAAUUGGGUGGAUGUUGAAAGCCUUGGAUUGCAUGGGGAGCUCCUAAUAGCUGUUUUCCUUGAAAAUCUGUCAGGACAUGGUGUCUCUGACAGAAAAUAGCUUGCGUCUCCCAACAGGCAGGGGGAUAAUAACUGAAUUGCCAUGUUCCGGCCGAACGGGCGCCUUUAGUAAUGGCAUUCGUCAUCACCUGCUGCGGAACUGAUAACGUCAUCAAUUACCAACUCAUUUCUUAAGAGGAGAUGGACUGUGUUGCAUGCUGAUGAAAGUGUGGAGCUUUGGUGUGGAGCAGAGGGUGUGUGUCCUUGCGCUUCCGCCGUGUGCACGCAAAAGCAUCGAAAUACGCUGUGUGUGUGUGUGUGUGUCUUUGGAGGGGCCAAUCAAACCAUUGAUUUGUACGAGUUGUGACAAAGACAGAUGAGAAAGACAGUGAGCGGCCUCGGCUCUCAAGAUUUGGACUUUGGAUCUCUGCUGUUUUCGGAAGAGAUUUGUUUAUGCUCAGAAAUAUUGAUCAGGCUGUCGGAGGCUCUAAGAAUAACAAAUGUGGAAUCUUAAAUCAAUUGUUUUUGCUUGUCUUAGCGGGGAAAACUAGAAAAGACAACCUGCGCUGCUUUCCUCAGGCCGUGCGGUAUGAAACGCUGCCAAGGAUUGUAAGAAACGGCUCAAGAACAUUAUUGCUACAUCCAUGAAUAAUACAGAGCAUUAGCUAGCCGACACGACAGGCCAAUUUUAUUCUUAUUAAAAAUUCACAUUUUUGAGAGAAGGUCGUGUGUAUGUUGAGACGUAAUUCCAUUUGAGACUGACCGACACCGUGCAACGGGUCCCGGAAUGUUGCUGAAAUUCAUUUACAGACGGACGAAAUUAUAUCAGGAGUUUGAAACACACACAACGGCACGAGCAUCAGCACACGGACAGACCCUUCAGCUGUACGCGGGGCAAAGCACUCUCAUGAGAGCACAAGUGCACUUAAAACAGCUUACAGGAAACGGAUAUCGAACCAUUCACUCGACGAUGCAAUUAAUCAGGUGCAUCUGGAUGUUCAGAGCGGAUCUCUAUCUUCACUACCACUAUCAAGGACCCAUGCUGUUCCCAUGACCCCCAAAUGGAUGAUUGCUGCAAAUGCUAGAGGCCAACAGCACCACCUGGAUGCCACCUGUUAUUCUGUGUGUGUGUAGGAGGCCGGUAGGAGUGAGUUAUUAUGAAGGGCACCAUCAUCGGGACCCCCUCUUGACACCUGCGCCCUCUAAAGCCACUGAGGGGAAUUGGAUGAACUGUCAUUGAAUCCGGAACCCGUUCAUGAAUUCAAAUUACUUAUUUCAAGAUUAAAACACCUCACCUUGGAGGCAGAGGUGAACGUGUAUCCACGCAGCACUCACACAAACGCAGUCUAACUUUAAACCUCACAGAUUCCUCGACAUCAAAGCGAUUCCUCCUCGUCGCAUUCAAAUGAUGACAAUACAUCUACUUACCAUCCCUCG
Molecule: long non-coding RNA, 1580 nt
Organism: Acanthopagrus latus (yellowfin seabream)
Lineage: Eukaryota; Metazoa; Chordata; Actinopteri; Spariformes; Sparidae
Exons: 3
Source: RefSeq, a predicted model, not a curated record